UACAGGGGGGGCAAGCGUUGUCCGGAAUCAUUGGGCGUAAAGAGCGCGUAGGCGGUCCGGUAAGUCGGUUGUGAAAACUGGGGGCUCAACCCUCAGAGGCCGACCGAUACUGCUGGGCUAGAGUCCGGAAGAGGCGAGUGGAAUUCCUGGUGUAGCGGUGAAAUGCGCAGAUAUCAGGAGGAACACCGGUGGCGAAGGCGGCGUUCUGGACUGCAACUGACACUGAUAAACGAAAGCCAGGGUAGCAAACGGG
This 253-nucleotide ribosomal RNA is filed under the name uncultured bacterium. Its description in RNAcentral is "partial 16S ribosomal RNA". It matches the Rfam family "Bacterial small subunit ribosomal RNA", at positions 524 to 776 of the family's 1533-position model. The record is from RNAcentral.